CCUUCUUUCCCUGUUUUGAUUGUCUCUGCUUCCAGACUAUUGUUCUGGUCUGUAUUUUUGCAUGUGUUUGAUGAAGAUGACAAUGAAUUAGAAGUUCUUGAAAUAAUUCAUCAUUAUGUGGAGAUUCUUGAUCGGUAUUUUGGCAGUACGGAGAAAACCAAGAGAUCUGAUAUAAAUAGACCAAAAGGAAUUAUCAGCUCAGUUGAAAUAUCUACUGGUUUUGGAUUUGGUUACAUAUUAGGCAUUACCUUUGCAGUUACUGAUAUCCCUUACCUAUUGAGUGAAGACAAUGAUGCUGGUGGAUAUGCCAUUGCUCAAAUAUUUUAUAUGGAAUUCAAGAAAAUAUAUGGCCAUGGAUUUGGGGUUUUUAUGUGCUUGGUGAUUAUUGCUAUUACCAUAUUUUUCUGUGGUAUGGGUUCAAUUACCAGCAACUCAAGGUAAAUGUACCUAAAAUUUGGUGCUGUGCAUGUUGCAUUUGCAUAUUAGAGGCUUUAUAAUCUCUCUAGUUGUUUAUAUUUAAGUACUUAAAAAAUGUACAGGAUGGCUUAUGCUUUCUCAAUAGAUGGGGCCAUGCCCUUGUCAUCAUUGUGGCAUAAAGUUAAUUAGAAGGAGGUUCUUAUAAAUGCUGUUUGGCUUUCUGUUUUGAUUUCAUUUUGCUUGGCUCUAACGGUAUGUGCUUUUUUAUUUUGUUAAGAAAUAUUAAAUAUUUUAAAUUUUAAAAUGCUCUUAAAACUACAUCUUCUCUUAUUUGUCCUUGGCAACAAUGUAGGGGAACUAGUAUUUAUCUAACUCUGCUAGAGAUUCAUAAGCACUAUUCAGUUUAUAGUCUCUAGUACAAGUGUUAUGCUAACUGAAAGUAGAAACUAAAUAACAGAAUUGUAACUAACCACUAACUGUGAGCUAACCAAUUCUAUAUAAACAAUGCUAUUUGUGUGUGUGAAAUCUGUUCUUGGCAAAUAUCUAACUCAACUCUAAUUCUAUUAUAGUCUCUUGGAAGUAUGGUAGUAUUUCAGGCCACAGUGUUAAUAGCAGUAAUUACUAUUUAUAUAGCAUAUGCACUUCCAAUAUUCUUCGGAGUGACAUUGACAGCAAAGCAUUUUGUGCCUGGGGCUUUCAACUUGGGCCGGUAUGGGCUCAUUCUGGGUUGCAGUUAUCUGGGUUGUGAUAAGCUUUAAAGUCGUCAGGAUGAUUUAGAGUCUCUUGGCUAUGUGCUUAUGUAUUUCUUAAGAGGAAGCCUUCCCUGACAGGGUCUGAAAGCUGUCACCAAAAAGGAAAAAUAUGAUAGGAUUUGUGAGAAGAAGUUGUCAACUCCCAUUGAGAUGCUUUGCAAGUCAUAUCCCGUGGAGUUCGCUUCUUACUUUCAUUAUUGCCACUCCUUGACAUUUGAUCAACUACCAGAUUAUGGAUUCUUGAAGUGCUUGUUUCGUGAUUUGUUCUCUCGUGAAGAAUUUGAAUCUGACAAUUUGUUUGACUGGACCAUUCUAAAGUACCAGCAGACACAGCAGAGACACAAAUAGCUACAAAAUCAAACAACUCCUUCAGCUGUUGUGCCUAGCAGUUUAGAACCCAUGGCUACGGACAAGAAUACAGGUUCAGGAGUCAAUGAUUCAACUCAUGUAACUGCAACAAGACAGUUGGCGAACCAGAGUCAUGAUCGUCCAAGCGCAACUGCACAGUCAUGAAAUUGCAAGUCUUGCAUUUCUUGCCUCCAAUCCCUCUUUAAAUGUGUAUUCUUGUCCUUCCUGUGUUUAAGAAAUUUUAGAAAAUUCUAAGGAUGCUACUCUACUAAUGUUUCUGAGACAUGGAUGUAAUUUUCACUCCAUAUGGAUAUAUAACUGUACAUUAUUGAAUGAAUUGAGUUAUAUGCAAAGAAAUAUUAUAUAGAUAAUCUAUUUUUCAUAUA
Molecule: long non-coding RNA, 1903 nt
Organism: Arachis ipaensis
Lineage: Eukaryota; Viridiplantae; Streptophyta; Magnoliopsida; Fabales; Fabaceae
Source: RefSeq, a predicted model, not a curated record